This 600-nucleotide ribosomal RNA is filed under the name uncultured bacterium. RNAcentral describes it as "partial 16S ribosomal RNA". The stretch from base 1 to 217 matches the Rfam family "Bacterial small subunit ribosomal RNA", at positions 191 to 400 of the family's 1533-position model. The record is from RNAcentral.
UGUCUACGGACCAAAGCGGGGGACCUCCGGGCCUCGCGCCAUCAGAUGAACCCAUAUGGGAUUAGCUUGUAGUGAGGUAACGGUCACCUAGGCGAGAUCCCUAGCUGGUCUCGAGAGGAUGAUCAGCCACACUGGGACUGAGACACGGCCAGACUCCUACGGGAGGCAGCAGUGGGGAAUAUUGCACAAUGGGCGCAAGCCUGAUGCAGCAUGCCGCGUGUAUGAANGAAGGGCUAUCGGGUUGUAAAGGUCACUCUNCCAGCUCGGGGAAGCGAAGGUGGUAACGGGCUCUCAAAAACCAUGAAUCACAAGAGGGAAGGUAUAACCGCAGCGGGAAAAACAGCGCACCGGGAAUAAACUACCGAGNGAACCAGACCAAACCGNCGGCUAAACCAACAGGCAACGNGUACGACCAACAACAUGCCAUAAUACCCGCGCACACAACUGGGGCACGUCCAAAAGAGAGAGAAACACANAAAAAGGACAGGGUAAUGGGAUUNCCAGCCCAAUAUCCCCAAAAAAGNAGAAGCCAACAAACAACACAAGGANGAAAAGAAAAAAAACCACAGAGACAGGAAAAACAGACGAAAAACUCGGCAC